Molecule: ribosomal RNA, 498 nt
Filed under: uncultured bacterium
Lineage: Bacteria
Description: partial 16S ribosomal RNA
Rfam family: Bacterial small subunit ribosomal RNA
Source: RNAcentral
GAUGAACGCUGGCGGCGUGCCUAAUACAUGCAAGUCGAGCGAACGGACGAGAAGCUUGCUUUUCUGAUGUUAGCGGCGGACGGGUGAGUAACACGUGGAUAACCUACCUAUAAGACUGGGAUAACUUCGGGAAACCGGAGCUAAUACCGGAUAAUAUUUUGAACCGCAUGGUUCAAAAGUGAAAGACGGUCUUGCUGUCACUUAUAGAUGGAUCCGCGCUGCAUUAGCUAGUUGGUAAGGUAACGGCUUACCAAGGCAACGAUGCAUAGCCGACCUGAGAGGGUGAUCGGCCACACUGGAACUGAGACACGGUCCAGACUCCUACGGGAGGCAGCAGUAGGGAAUCUUCCGCAAUGGGCGAAAGCCUGACGGAGCAACGCCGCGUGAGUGAUGAAGGUCGUCGGAUCGUAAAACUCUGUUAUUAGGGAAGAACAUAUGUGUAAGUAACUGUGCACAUCUUGACGGUACCUAAUCAGAAAGCCACGGCUAACUACGUGC